CAAAGAACUUUGAAGAGAGAGUUCAAGAGGACGUGAAACCACAAGGGGCGAAACGAUUAGAGUUGACGAGACUGGCGGUGUUCAGUGCUGUCGAGGGCUCCGCCGUGCGAUCGAGCUCCCGUAAGGGGGUUCUCGUGUGGAUGGGUGAGAACUCGGCGGUGCGCAUUCACUGUCGGUAUACGCUGAGACGUUUGGUGUUCCCUUCUGAAGCGCGUAGUGAGGCCCACCUCGGUGGUCACCUACUGCGUGUGGAGGUUGAUGUGAGCGCUAAGCGGCUGGUUCGGGCCUCGCCUUUGCGCGGAGCUUACGGACGCUCGUUCGCGGCGUUGUUGAUGGCGUGCCAUCGGCGGCGUUCGUCGGGCUUGUGUACGUGAGCGCUGCUAACAGGCUUGCUCUCGGUGUGAAAGUCGACCACCUAAUCGACCCGUCUUGAAACACGGACCAAGAAGUCUAGCAUGAGCGCGAGUCAAUGGGCGUUAACCUAUUGGCGCAAUGAAAGUAAAGGCCGACUCGAUUGGCUGAUAUGUGAUCCGUGGCUACGGCCGCGGCGCAACAUAGCCCCAUGCCGACUGCUUGCAGUGGUGUGGAGGUAGAGCGUUCAUGCUGGGACCCGAAAGAUGGUGAACUAUGCCUGAGCAGGAUGAAGCCAGAGGAAACUCUGGUGGAAGUCCGAAGCGGUUCUGACGUGCAAAUCGAUCGUCUGACUUGGGUAUAGGGGCGAAAGACUAAUCGAACCAUC
This 739-nucleotide ribosomal RNA is filed under the name Diplogasteroides asiaticus. RNAcentral's name for it is "eukaryotic LSU rRNA". It matches the Rfam family "Eukaryotic large subunit ribosomal RNA", at positions 367 to 944 of the family's 3401-position model. The record is from RNAcentral. Lineage: Eukaryota; Metazoa; Nematoda; Chromadorea; Rhabditida; Diplogasteroididae.